This 255-nucleotide long non-coding RNA is filed under the name Pongo abelii (Sumatran orangutan). RNAcentral's name for it is "lincRNA". Lineage: Eukaryota; Metazoa; Chordata; Mammalia; Primates; Hominidae. The record is from RNAcentral.
CAGUAGGACUGACUGGAGCCAUUGUACAGUGUCGGGAACACACCAGGACACUGAGAAUAGCGUCAUGUCAUAAAAACUCAGAGCAGAUGGACCCUGCUGUGAUGCACAAAGGGAUGAAAUGGGAUUUUGUUGGCGCCAAGACCUGAUUGCUUUGCCAGUUACCCUCACCCCUGGCUCACGAGGAAAGUGUAUUGAGGAGAUUCUCGAGGAACCACAUGAGUUUUAAUAUCAUAAGCUUCUGUCCUGAAUUGAAAG